AGCUGAAGGAAGACCGGGCCGCCGGGCCGUGACCGGGGGCUGCAGGGGUGCGGUGGGGUGGACGUGUGAGCUCAGAGCGGUGGCCAGAGCCCUGGGGCUGGGUUCUCUGGGGACGUGGGAGCCCCAGGAACGGGCCCUCCGGCUGUUGUAUCCAGGAUGGGGGUGGGGGCCAGGGCAGAGCAGGAAGCGGCUUGGCCUGGACGGGUGCCGGGGGCAGGGUUGCGAUUUGCUUCUGAAGGCAGAGCCCGGGUCUAACUGGUCUGUUGUUAGGUUGUUUCCAAGGCCCUGCCGGCGCCGCCGUGGACAGCAUCCUGGUGCAUCUCUGGAGCGACACCCAGAGGGGAACUGCUGGCGUGUGACGUGCGGCUCAGUGCGUCCUUGUGUCCCCGAGGCCCGUCCCCUUGCGGUGGCCUGCCGUGCUGGCCAGGCUGGGCCAAGCGUCCAGUGUGCUCCGAGGCACACCUUGGGUCUGGCCGUCCCGUGCUACCUCCCUAACCUCCAUCCCCUGAUACUCCCAGCCAGGUUUCCGGGCAGCACUGCCCGCAUCCGGCCACGCCAACCCGCCGCCCCAGAGCCGCACAGUCCCCGGGAGACCAGGGAUUACACUUGAGAAGCCCCGCUCCACAGUGCUGCCCUCCUGACGCUCAGAAUCACCAUCGUGGUGGACCGGGACCCUGGUGACUGACCCAGCGUGCAUUGUGCGCCUGUGCUAACCAGACCUCCCCGCGCUGAAAUACCUGCUCACGCACGAAGACUGACUUUCCUCCUUCUGACACCAGCCGUGUAACUCCUUAGGAGACAGCGUUCCUGUAAAAGGGGUCACAACGACCCGCCGCUCGCCUGUUCUACAAGAAUCAAGCCCUCAGCCACUGCAGUCACUGACCUACAAGGAAUUCGGGGUGAAGAUCAGGAUGAGGGCCUCUGUGCUCUGGGAAAACUGGAGGAACAGGCCCUCAGAUGAUAUCCUCAGGAGAAAAUUUUUAUGAUGCUGGAUGCUUGCAUCUUCCCGGACUUAGAAAAGCACUCAAAUCAUUAGCUGAGAUGUCUGUUCCUGGUGACCAGCAGCAGCCUUCUACCGACAUGUGUGCUUGGUGGCACGUACCCCUUCCCCCAAAUCACACGUAUGCUGACCGUCCCCACCUCCUCGGAACAGAUCUCAGCGCUCCUGAAAGACUGUUUCCAGGCUGCAGUCCUCAAUUUCGCUCAAAUACAGUUCUCCAUUUCUUUCUUAGAUUGAAUAUCGAUUAAGGUUUUUCUGGACAGGAUGAAGCCGCUGAAAGCACCCCCUCCACGAAGGUGGCGUCAGGACAAACUGACCUUCCAGAGCUUGGUGCCCGGUGCCCCCCGGGCCCAGGCCUCUCCCAUCCUCGUGGUGCAUCAGGGAGGCUGCUUCCCAUUGAGUCACGCCCCCGGCCAAUUCAGCCCAUCCAGCCCAUGCCUGAGCCCGGGGGGUGGUGUUGGGGGCCCUGGGCUCCAGGGAAGUGUUUGGAUGCCGCAUCAAAGUCCGCGUCAGGGCUGGGGCUGGGACGAAGCGUCCUUCCUGGGAGAGCCCGUGACACGCCCACCCUCGUGAUCCCAGGUAUACCACGGGACACCCCCCCCCGCCGGCAUCCCUGGCACCCGCCACCAGGUCCUCCCCGACAGCUGUGGACACAGAGAGGGGCUGGCCAGGAGGGGCCGGGGCCCAAGGGAGGAGGGAGGGUUUCCAGCUUCCACCCGGCUCGGAGGGGGUGGCCGAGGACGGCGGCCCCCGUGACAGGAAACGGGUGCCCACCAGCCCGCAGGGGACCAGACAACACCCAGAGUACCGUCUUCAGGCCUGACAGGCUUCAGACGACCAGAAAACUGCGUGGCCUCUGGGUUCCUGUGCCUGCACUGUUGUGUGGGUUUAAACAGCAUCUCGGUGAAUGGGACCACCAUCCUGCAGGGAGCUUUGGCCGAACGUCGGAGCCCGCUCUGCUACACACCUUGACCCAGAAAUUCCAUUUUUGAUACCUGCUCUAAGGAAAUGCCACACCAAGACCCUUCUACACACAAGGGAAGGGGCCUAACGCCUACCCAUCUGAGGUUCAAGACACUGCUCCCCAGAUUCUGCAGACCCGGUGGGGAUGCCAUCCCAGCCCCUCUGCGGGGUUUCCCACACUGCUGGGGCCACUUCCCAGACGACAAGCACCAGGGCCUGGGCAGGGCCAAGGUCUCUGACAGGUGCUGGGGACUCCGGAGCUGGAGGGGCAGUGGCAGCAGUGGGUUGCACCUUGGCCUUGCAGCCCCGGACACACCUGGCUUCUCUGAGUCCAGCACUGGCCUGGCAGUGCCAGGAGGCUGGAGGUGGGGCACCCCUCUGCUGGGGUGGGCACGGCAGACUAGGACACACUCUACCAUUAAGUCAAACAUGUUAGCUGCCAGUGAGAUUAUCUGUGAUUUCUACUUUUUUCUUCCUACAUCUCUGUAUUUUCUAG
Physeter macrocephalus (sperm whale) is the source of this 2459-nucleotide long non-coding RNA. RefSeq lists it as uncharacterized. The record is from RefSeq and is a predicted model, not a curated record. The transcript is spliced from 3 exons. NCBI's taxonomy places the organism in Eukaryota, Metazoa, Chordata, Mammalia, Artiodactyla, Physeteridae.